RNAcentral lists this ribosomal RNA (472 nucleotides) under uncultured organism. RNAcentral's name for it is "partial 16S ribosomal RNA". It matches the Rfam family "Bacterial small subunit ribosomal RNA", at positions 333 to 797 of the family's 1533-position model. The record is from RNAcentral.
ACACUCCUACGGGAGGCAGCAGUGGGGAAUAUUGCACAAUGGGCGCAAGCCUGAUGCAGCCAUGCCGCGUGUAUGAAGAAGGCCUUCGGGUUGUAAAGUACUUUCAGCGGGGAGGAAGGCGAUAAGGUUAAUAACCUUGUUGAUUGACGUUACCCGCAGAAGAAGCACCGGCUAACUCCGUGCCAGCAGCCGCGGUAAUACGGAGGGUGCAAGCGUUAAUCGGAAUUACUGGGCGUAAAGCGCACGCAGGCGGUCUGUCAAGUCGGAUGUGAAAUCCCCGGGCUCAACCUGGGAACUGCAUUCGAAACUGGCAGGCUAGAGUCUUGUAGAGGGGGGUAGAAUUCCAGGUGUAGCGGUGAAAUGCGUAGAGAUCUGGAGGAAUACCGGUGGCGAAGGCGGCCCCCUGGACAAAGACUGACGCUCAGGUGCGAAAGCGUGGGGAGCAAACAGGAGUAGAAACCCCGGUAGUCCC